RNAcentral lists this ribosomal RNA (253 nucleotides) under uncultured bacterium. RNAcentral's name for it is "partial 16S ribosomal RNA". It matches the Rfam family "Bacterial small subunit ribosomal RNA", at positions 524 to 776 of the family's 1533-position model. The record is from RNAcentral.
UACGGAGGUUCCAAGAGUUGUUCGGAAUUACUGGGCGUAAAGGGAGCGUAGGCGGACAAGUCAGUCUGAAGUGGAAUUCCGGGGCUCAACCUCGGACUUGCUUCGGAUACUGCUUGUCUUGAGUUCGCGAGAGGAAGAUGGAAUUCAGGGUGUAGCGGUGAAAUGCACAGAUAUCCUGAGGAACACCGGUGGCGAAAGCGGUCUUCUGGCGCGAAACUGACGCUGAGGCUCGAAAGCGUGGGUAGCAAACGGG